ACCCCGGGGCGGACUUCUGACGCUGGUUGCGCUCGCUUCUUCGUGGCACAUGCUUUAGUGUCUUUGUAGCCGCUUCUCGGAGGCGAGACGGUACAAUGAACAGACUUAUGUUCGAAUGCAGUCACCUCCACACACGAGCACACGGAGAAAGUUAAUGCAGCUGAAACAACUGUGAAAUCCGGACAGCUGGGCUUGCCUAACUACACACAGAUACUGGUUUUGUGAUCUCUUUAAGGAAAAGGAGAGCAAAGUGCUCAAAUCAGGAAAUCCCUGGCCUUCUUUGGAAAAGUCAAGUGUUCGAAUAACUGCAGGGCAUUACAUUGUUUUUGUAUUUGUUUUGGGUAGCAUAUACAACAAGAAUAGUACUGGUUCUGAAUUUCCAAUUAAGGAACUUUGAACGAACUUAAUUCAAAAUUUAAAAACCACGGUGGUGUUGAUUCCAUACAGUUUGUCUGGAGACAGGAGGGGAUCAAAAUGAAUUUAGAACAGAAGGCAACCAUCUGUUUAUGAUCAUUGGCUCUCAGGACUUUGCUAUUUGCUGAGACUGCAAAGGUGAAAGAAUGGUUCGUUAUCAAAGUUAAAUGUGCUUAAGAAUCACCAAGGAGACAUAGAGGAGGAGGCCAUGUAACAAAGUCGCCAGAACCUACGAUGAUGCAGCCACAGGUCAAGGAAGACCCAGAACCAUCAAAAACUGGAAGGGAAAGAAAGGAUCCUCCCUUGGAGCCUUUACCAGAAAUGCAGCCAUGCUGACACCUUGAUUUUGGACUUCUUGCCUCUAGAACUGUGAAACCCCCCACCCCCUUCACACCCAAGGGCACCCUCCUACUGAACUACAUCCCCAGCCCUUAAAAAAAAUAAUUGUUUUUGUUCUUUUUGAGGCAGAGUUUUGCUAGA
Molecule: non-coding RNA, 894 nt
Organism: Heterocephalus glaber (naked mole-rat)
Lineage: Eukaryota; Metazoa; Chordata; Mammalia; Rodentia; Bathyergidae
Source: RefSeq, a predicted model, not a curated record